GGAAAGUCCGACGGUACAGGGUGAUAGUCCCGUACACGAAAAUGCACAUGCUGUGAACUCGAAGAGUAGGGCGGGACACGUGGUAUCCUGUCUGAAUAUGGGGGGACCAUCCUCCAAGGCUAAAUACUCCUGACUGACCGAUAGUGAACCAGUACCGUGAGGGAAAGGCGAAAAGAACCCCGGCGAGGGGAGUGAAAAAGAACCUGAAACCGUGUACGUACAAGCAGUGGGAGCCUCUUUAUGGGGUGACUGCGUACCUUUUGUAUAAUGGGUCAGCGACUUAUAUUCUGUAGCAAGGUUAACCGUAUAGGGGAGCCGAAGGGAAACCGAGUCUUAACUGGGCGUUAAGUUGCAGGGUAUAGACCCGAAACCCGGUGAUCUAGCCAUGGGCAGGUUGAAGGUUGGGUAACACUAACUGGAGGACCGAACCGACUAAUGUUGAAAAAUUAGCGGAUGACCUGUGGCUGGGGGUGAAAGGCCAAUCAAACCGGGAGAUAGCUGGUUCUCCCCGAAAGCUAUUUAGGUAGCGCCUCGUGAACUCAUCUUCGGGGGUAGAGCACUGUUUCGGCUAGGGGGCCAUCCCGGCUUACCAACCCGAUGCAAACUACGAAUACCGAAGAAUGUUAUCACGGGAGACACACGGCGGGUGCUAACGUCCGUCGUGAAGAGGGAAACAACCCAGACCGCCAGCUAAGGUCCCAAAGUCAUGGUUAAGUGGGAAACGAUGUGGGAAGGCACAGACAGCCAGGAUGUUGGCUUAGAAGCAGCCAUCAUUUAAAGAAAGCGUAAUAGCUCACUGGUCGAGUCGGCCUGCGCGGAAGAUGUAACGGGGCUAAACCAUGCACCGAAGCUGCGGCAGCGACACUAUGUGUUGUUGGGUAGGGGAGCGUUCUGUAAGCCGUUGAAGGUGUGCUGUGAGGCAUGCUGGAGGUAUCAGAAGUGCGAAUGCUGACAUAAGUAACGAUAAAGCGGGUGAAAAGCCCGCUCGCCGGAAGACCAAGGGUUCCUGUCCAACGUUAAUCGGGGCAGGGUGAGUCGACCCCUAAGGCGAGGCCGAAAGGCGUAGUCGAUGGGAAACAGGUUAAUAUUCCUGUACUUGGUGUUACUGCGAAGGGGGGACGGAGAAGGCUAUGUCAGCCGGGCGACGGUUGUCCCGGUUUAAGCAUGUAGGCGGAGGUUCCAGGUAAAUCCGGUACCUU
Molecule: ribosomal RNA, 1199 nt
Filed under: Enterobacter hormaechei
Lineage: Bacteria; Pseudomonadati; Pseudomonadota; Gammaproteobacteria; Enterobacterales; Enterobacteriaceae
Description: partial 23S ribosomal RNA
Rfam family: Bacterial large subunit ribosomal RNA
Source: RNAcentral